RNAcentral lists this ribosomal RNA (1287 nucleotides) under metagenome. Its description in RNAcentral is "bacterial SSU rRNA". It matches the Rfam family "Bacterial small subunit ribosomal RNA", at positions 242 to 1520 of the family's 1533-position model. The record is from RNAcentral.
UAGCUAGUUGGUGAGGUAACGGCUUACCAAGGCGACGAUCUGUAGCGGGUCUGAGAGGAUGAUCCGCCACACUGGAACUGAGACACGGUCCAGACUCCUACGGGAGGCAGCAGUGGGGAAUUUUGGACAAUGGGGGCAACCCUGAUCCAGCCAUGCCGCGUGAGUGAAGAAGGCCUUCGGGUUGUAAAGCUCUUUCGGCCGGGAAGAAAUCGCAUGGGCCAAUACCCUGUGUGGAUGACGGUACCGGAAUAAGAAGCACCGGCUAGCUACGUGCCAGCAGCCGCGGUAAUACGUAGGGUGCGAGCGUUAAUCGGAAUUACUGGGCGUAAAGCGUGCGCAGGCGGUUUUGUAAGACAGGCGUGAAAUCCCCGGGCUCAACCUGGGAACUGCGUUUGUGACUGCAAGGCUAGAGUACGGCAGAGGGGGGUGGAAUUCCACGUGUAGCAGUGGAAUGCGUAGAGAUGUGGAGGAACACCAAUGGCGAAGGCAGCCCCCUGGGUCGAUACUGACGCUCAUGCACGAAAGCGUGGGUAGCAAACAGGAUUAGAUACCCUGGUAGUCCACGCCCUAAACUAUGUCAACUAGGUGUUGGGUGGGUAAAACCAUUUAGUACCGUAGCUAACGCGUGAAGUUGACCGCCUGGGGAGUACGGCCGCAAGGUUAAAACUCAAAGGAAUUGACGGGGACCCGCACAAGCGGUGGAUGAUGUGGAUUAAUUCGAUGCAACGCGAAAAACCUUACCUACCCUUGACAUGCCAGGAACUUGCCAGAGAUGGCUUGGUGCCCGAAAGGGAGCCUGGACACAGGUGCUGCAUGGCUGUCGUCAGCUCGUGUCGUGAGAUGUUGGGUUAAGUCCCGCAACGAGCGCAACCCUUGUCGUUAAUUGCCAUCAUUUAGUUGGGCACUUUAGCGAGACUGCCGGUGACAAACCGGAGGAAGGUGGGGAUGACGUCAAGUCCUCAUGGCCCUUAUGGGUAGGGCUUCACACGUCAUACAAUGGUCGGUACAAAGGGUCGCCAAGCCGCGAGGUGGAGCCAAUCCCAGAAAGCCGAUCGUAGUCCGGAUUGCAGGCUGCAACUCGCCUGCAUGAAGUCGGAAUCGCUAGUAAUCGUGGAUCAGCAUGUCACGGUGAAUACGUUCCCGGGUCUUGUACACACCGCCCGUCACACCAUGGGAGCGGGUUCCGCCAGAAGUAGGUAGCCUAACCGUAAGGAGGGCGCUUACCACGGCGGGGUUCGUGACUGGGGUGAAGUCGUAACAAGGUAGCCGUAGGGGAACCUGCGGCUG